GGGUCAGUAGGUUGGUCGUGCCACCGGUACGUACUGGUCUCACUGAUUCCUCCUUCCUGAAGAACCGUAAUGCCAUUAAUUUGGUGUUGCGGGGAAACAGGACUGUUACUUUGAAAAAAUUAGAGUGUUUAAAGCAAGCUAACGCUUGAAUACAUUAGCAUGGAAUAAUGAAAUAGGACGAUCGAUCCUAUUUUGUUGGUUUCUAGGAUUGACGUG
RNAcentral lists this ribosomal RNA (216 nucleotides) under Glomeromycotina sp. RNAcentral describes it as "partial small subunit ribosomal RNA". The stretch from base 40 to 216 matches the Rfam family "Eukaryotic small subunit ribosomal RNA", at positions 686 to 864 of the family's 1831-position model. Lineage: Eukaryota; Fungi; Glomeromycota. The record is from RNAcentral.